Molecule: non-coding RNA, 78 nt
Filed under: Rhizobium sp.
Lineage: Bacteria; Pseudomonadati; Pseudomonadota; Alphaproteobacteria; Hyphomicrobiales; Rhizobiaceae
Also listed under: 1 other name
Source: RNAcentral
GACUUGCGCCGUGGUGAUUUGGCCGGCCGGCUUGCAGCCACGUUAAACAAGUCGCUAAAGGGCCGUGGGACGAUGUUU